This 253-nucleotide ribosomal RNA is filed under the name uncultured bacterium. RNAcentral describes it as "partial 16S ribosomal RNA". It matches the Rfam family "Bacterial small subunit ribosomal RNA", at positions 524 to 776 of the family's 1533-position model. The record is from RNAcentral.
CACGUAGGGCGCAAGCGUUGUCCGGAAUUAUUGGGCGUAAAGAGCUCGUAGGCGGCUUGUCACGUCGGGUGUGAAAGCCCGGGGCUUAACCCCGGGUCUGCAUUCGAUACGGGCUAGCUAGAGUGUGGUAGGGGAGAUCGGAAUUCCUGGUGUAGCGGUGAAAUGCGCAGAUAUCAGGAGGAGCACCGGUGGCGAAGGCGGAUCUCUGGGCCAUUACUGACGCUGAGGAGCGAAAGCGUGGGGAGCGAACAGG